AUGGCCGCCGGCGUCGCAUCCCAGCUUCCGUCGUCAUCACCACGCGCUGCGUCGCAGCAUCCGCGAUGGCCGUCAGCGCUGCAUCUCAACUUCCGUCGUCGUCACCACGCGCUGCCUCAGAGCUUCCAUCGAAGCAUCAUCGGCGCUGCGAUGGUGACCGCGACGAACGGCCGACAUGGGCACUGCAACUCCGGCGAUGGUUGCCUUGAAGCUGCAAUGGAGCAAAGCUGGCCCUGCAAUGUAGCCUCGCCGGAGUUGCAAUGGAGCUUCGCCGGAUGCACCCGUGCUGCAUUGGAGCCUCGCCGGAUGCACUCGUGCUGCAUUGGAGCCUCGCCGGAGUUGCAAUGGAGCUUCGCCGGACCCAUCGGCGCUGCGUUGGAGCGCCAUUGGACGGCCGUCGGUGCACCAUGA
RNAcentral lists this ribosomal RNA (411 nucleotides) under Triticum aestivum (bread wheat). Its description in RNAcentral is "partial small subunit ribosomal RNA". The record is from RNAcentral. Lineage: Eukaryota; Viridiplantae; Streptophyta; Magnoliopsida; Poales; Poaceae.